AUCCAUAGACUUAUCACCUUUAUAUUACACAAAGUUCCCACGGUUAAGGGGAAGAACUAAUGCUUACCCCUGUUCUCUUUCUUUUUCUCUUUCUUUUCUCUUUCUUUUUAUUUUCUCUUUCUCAUUCUCUUUCUUUUUCUCUUUCUUCUCUUUCUUCUCUUUCUGUGCCAGAGCCUCCAUUUUUUAACUACUUUUAAUUUUAAUCGAAAUUAAUUUUUAAUUGUUUUCCUUUUUUAAUUUUGUUCUUUUUACUAUUUGUAAUUAGAUUGAUUCAGUUUCUUGUAAUUAAAUCUUUUGUAAUUUUCCUUCCUUAUUGUAGGAAAUGAAUUAACUAUUUCCACAUGUUCUCUUAACCUUUUGUGUCACCGGUUGAUGUUGAUGAAAAUGUUACAUUGUAAACAUAAUUUUCUCAUGGUUAAAUUACGUAAAUAUGACUGUUAAUUAAUGAGACAAUUUAUUGUUAUUCUUGUUAUCCUAUUGUGAUAAUCUAUUGACGAUUGUAAUUAAUAUUAUCUGGUUGUCAAAAGAAUUGUCUUUGACUUUCAACGAAUAAUUUUUUUUUAUUGGGCCUGAUUAAAUAUCUCAAUUGUAAUUGAUAACCUACGUGGACUGGAGGCCAUUUACUUUGUAUUCACCGAUUGUCCUCAGGGAAGGUGCACCUACGAUUUUGGGCUCUGUAAAUUAAUUUACCUGUUGAACCUUUUACGAUUACCUUGUUGUUUAUCCACCGUUGGAAUAACGUUUACAAUUGAUAUAAUCAUCUCAAGGUUUACAGUUUGGGUUCAAGUGGAUUUACAAGGUUUAUGUCAUCAGCUUAUUAUUAUAUCAUCUUGGAGCUUUGAUUUUCUUUCUAUGGAUAAUAUUGGUUACCUUUGGAGGGAAAGUAUUGAUGUGUAGUUACUUGUUUACUUUCAACGUUGUAAAGAUUAUGUUUCAUUCAACAGGCUGGACUCAUGAUUAUUUGUUAAUGGCCACAGGGUGAUCAACUUUUUCACUCUCUCCAUCCUAUUACUUAAUAUUUAGAUUCUGGUAUUGAAGAUUCAUCUAAUGUGACGACAAGGAGAACAUGAUAGAGGUUGAAGACAAGAAGAAGAAUCCAGAUGAGGAUGGAAACUACUGGGUGGAAAUUGAGAGAAAUCAGAUUUCAAACCUUCAAGCCAAAUUAGAUUUAAUGAGCAGAAUUAAUUUCCAACAAUUACAACUACAAUUAUUGUCUAUGUGAUGAAGCCAGAAAUUGAACAUUUGAAACUGUAAAGGGUUGAAGACAUUUAUUCAUGUUGAAGAUAAAAUUUCAUUCUCUUCAUCGGGUCAAAGGUUAAUCGUCUUGUUGGAAGAUCAAUUUACUAUUCUCCCUCUCUUUUUGCGUUUCUGUCUCUCCAACAAUUAACUCUAAUUUCUAUCACUAAUUUUAUUUUCUCUUUAUUUACAAACCUGGUUCAUGAUCGAGAUCAACAUUGGAAAUAAUUUUCUCUUUAUUUUCUUUUCUCUCUCUCUCUACAAAUAAUAAACUUAAAAUGAUCUGAAACAUUGACGUUAACAAAGAAAAACAAAUGACAAGGAUAAGGAAGAGGAACAUGGAAACAAGAAGAAAUUAAUAUGAUGACGAUGAUUAUAUAACAAUGAGAAGGUAAUUUAAUAAAGUGAGAGGGAGAGAGAAAUCAAAAUAAUCUCCUUGGUCUCCCUAAUAUUUAUCUUUCUCUCUCAAUUGGUGAUAUUUUCAUCUUCAACGUUGCAAAUAUUAUUAUCAAUGCAAUUAUCACUCCAAUGAUUAAAAUGUUAAAAGUAAAGAUUAAGAAUAUUUAAUCGUAAUGAUUUAGUGAUUAAGAGUAACAAUCAAAUCUAACUACUGUUGAUUGUUAUGCUCACUCACUCACUCAUUGAUUUUCCUCUCUCUUUCUCUCAUGAUUAAUAUGCACUCGUUAGGAAAAUAUUAGAGAUAUUUUAAUUGUUACAAUACCAAUUCCAAGUUAAUUUAAUUGUUUGGCACACUUUUCCUAUUAAUCAGUUUUAUUUCUAACCUCUCAAUCUAGUUAAUUAAUCAACUCGAUCCCUCUAAUUAUCCCAAUUAAUUAUUAUUAUACAUUAUUAGUUAAAGUCUAGUCUCAAAUUAUUUACAUUGAAACAUUUUCAUCUUGAUGAUUUUUGUUUUAUCUUCCUUUUAUUUUUUAUCUUCUUCCUUCUCUCUCUCUCUCACUCACUCAUAUUUAUCAUGAAACUGAAUCAGAUAAUGAUUAUCAUCAAUCGUCAUCAUAAUUAACAGUCAAUUGUAGUCUUGUUAUUGUUAAUUAAGUUUUUGAUACUUUGCUUCUUGUUUCGAUAUCUAUUAUUUUCUCUCCCCCUCUCAACAAUUAGUUAAUGAUUGUAAUUGUUGAUUUAUAAUAAUACUAGUUGUUCAAUUGUCAAUUGACAGUUAACAACAUGCUACAAUAAUAAGUAAUAAUAACAACAACAGGUUGACAUUUAAUUGUUUGUUUAAUUGAUUAGUAAGUUGAUAAAGUAUUUUACUUGAUCAUCUCCUUCAUAUAAUAAUAAUUAUUAAAUUAUCUUUACAAUUUAGGAAAUAAAAUUUUAACCAUUUAAAGUCAGGUAAAUAUAUUAAAGAGAGAGAGAGGAAGAGACUGAUUUUCACAAUCAAGUAAUUAAUCAAUUAGAUUAAUUAUCGUCUCUCAAUAGAAUGAGAGAAAAAUUUGGUUACGAAUGUAGAACAAUUAAUUUUGAUUCUCUGGUAAAAUUCUAACAAUUUACCGUUGAUGGUGAGAAAAUAGAAUCAUUGUGAUUCUUAAAAAUAGAAUUAGAAAAAUAACAAUUU
Molecule: long non-coding RNA, 2809 nt
Organism: Panonychus citri (citrus red mite)
Lineage: Eukaryota; Metazoa; Arthropoda; Arachnida; Trombidiformes; Tetranychidae
Exons: 5
Source: RefSeq, a predicted model, not a curated record